RNAcentral lists this ribosomal RNA (309 nucleotides) under uncultured Alkaliflexus sp. RNAcentral describes it as "bacterial SSU rRNA". It matches the Rfam family "Bacterial small subunit ribosomal RNA", at positions 355 to 660 of the family's 1533-position model. The record is from RNAcentral. Lineage: Bacteria; Pseudomonadati; Bacteroidota; Bacteroidia; Marinilabiliales; Marinilabiliaceae.
UGAGGAAUAUUGGGUCAAUGGACGCAAGUCUGAACCAGCCAAGUCGCGUGCAGGAAUAAGGCCCUAUGGGUCGCAGACUGCUUUUGCAUGAGAAUAAAAAGUGGGACGAGUCCCACCCUGUAGGUAUCAUGCGAAUAAGGAUCGGCUAACUCCGUGCCAGCAGCCGCGGUAAUACGGAGGAUCCGAGCGUUAUCCGGAUUCAUUGGGUUUAAAGGGUGCGCAGGCGGGCCUGUAAGCCCGUGGUGAAAGCCUGGUGCUCAACGCCAGAGGUGCCGCGGGAACUGCAGGUCUUGAGUCGUGACGAGGGCG